GCAGGGGUUGCCAAGCCUGGCCAACGGCGCUGGACUUAAGAUCCAGUCCCAUAGGGGUUCGGGGGUUCAAAUCCCCUCCCCUGCA
RNAcentral lists this transfer RNA (85 nucleotides) under Methanothermococcus okinawensis IH1. RNAcentral's name for it is "tRNA-Leu (TAA) (tRNA-Leu-TAA-1-1)". It matches the Rfam family "tRNA". From Rfam's summary of the family: Transfer RNA (tRNA) molecules are approximately 80 nucleotides in length. Lineage: Archaea; Methanobacteriati; Methanobacteriota; Methanococci; Methanococcales; Methanococcaceae. RNAcentral also lists the same sequence under 2 other names. The record is from RNAcentral.